AGUGAACGCUGGCGGUAGGCCUAACACAUGCAAGUCGAACGGCAGCACAGUAAGAGCUUGCUCUUACGGGUGGCGAGUGGCGGACGGGUGAGGAAUACAUCGGAAUCUACUUUUUCGUGGGGGAUAUCGUAGGGAAACUUACGCUAAUACCGCAUACGACCUACGGGUGAAAGCAGGGGAUCUUCGGACCUUGCGCGAUUGAAUGAGCCGAUGUCGGAUUAGCUAGUUGGCGGGGUAAAGGCCCACCAAGGCGACGAUCCGUAGCUGGUCUGAGAGGAUGAUCAGCCACACUGGAACUGAGACACGGUCCAGACUCCUACGGGAGGCAGCAGUGGGGAAUAUUGGACAAAGGGCGCAAGCCUGAUCCAGCCAUACCGCGUGAGUGAAGAAGGCCUUCGGGUUGUAAAGCCCUUUUGUUGGGAAAGAAAAGCAGCAGGUUAAUACCCCGCUGUUCUGACGGUACCCAAAGAAUAAGCACCGGCUAACUUCGUG
This 492-nucleotide ribosomal RNA is filed under the name uncultured bacterium. RNAcentral describes it as "partial 16S ribosomal RNA". It matches the Rfam family "Bacterial small subunit ribosomal RNA", at positions 29 to 507 of the family's 1533-position model. The record is from RNAcentral.